RNAcentral lists this ribosomal RNA (262 nucleotides) under uncultured bacterium. Its description in RNAcentral is "partial 16S ribosomal RNA". It matches the Rfam family "Bacterial small subunit ribosomal RNA", at positions 513 to 774 of the family's 1533-position model. The record is from RNAcentral.
AGCCGCGGUAAUACGGAGGGAGCUAGCGUUGUUCGGAAUUACUGGGCGUAAAGCGCGCGUAGGCGGCUAUUCAAGUCGGGGGUGAAAGCCCGGGGCUCAACCCCGGAACUGCCCUCGAAACUAGGUAGCUAGAAUCUUGGAGAGGUCAGUGGAAUUCCGAGUGUAGAGGUGAAAUUCGUAGAUAUUCGGAAGAACACCAGUGGCGAAGGCGACUGACUGGACAAGUAUUGACGCUCAUGCACGAAAGCGUGGGGAGCAAACA